This 10860-nucleotide long non-coding RNA is filed under the name Phoenix dactylifera (date palm). Its description in RNAcentral is "long non-coding RNA (PDAC_LNC002282)". Lineage: Eukaryota; Viridiplantae; Streptophyta; Magnoliopsida; Arecales; Arecaceae. The record is from RNAcentral.
UCCCUCCGCCGUCCGUUGCCUUUAAUCGAGUUUGCCUCGCUUAAAUUCGUAGCUGCUCUCCUCUAUAACUGUCUUGCCAACGGAUAUAUCCAAAUCUUUCCUUCUUGCCAUCUCGCUCCCCGCUACCUUCGUGUCAUAACAUUUUUAAAUAAUACUCCGUCUCCAUGGCUUCGGAAGCCGGCCGGGACGCCCAAGGGCGACGCGAUUUACCUGCGAACGCAGGGAGGACAUACAAAGAUGAGUAUUCCUGGCUCUCAGUCCUGGGUUUUGCUUUUCUCACUUAUAACUCGAUCCUCGCCGUCUACCGCUCCAUCAACGACCCAUGGAUGGUGGCCUUCGUCGUGGGCUCCUACGUUGAUCUCAUGUCCCUGUUUUAUUUUCUGCGCGUCUUUGAGAGAACGUCGGAAACUUCCCCUCACAGGGGAAAGUUGAAGGUGGUGGUAUGGACGCUCGCCACGCUGCUUACCCUGAUGUUUACUUACAAGGUCGCAGGCAUCAUGCCGUUGGCGGUGAAGGUCGUAGUGUGGGCGAUGGCAGCCGCCACGACUCUUGGUGGCUUCUACGCCUUCUUCAUCUACGAGGAGAAUCCCAAACUCUAAUGGGUUUCGGUUUCUCCGUUUCUCCUGAAUAAUAUAUACAGGAGACGCAGGGUUCGUGUUCAGCAAGCUCUGGGACCCAGGCGCUGCGAGCGGCGCAGCGUCGGCCGUAGCGCGUGGCUCUCAUCGCAUGGCUGGGCAUACGGAUGCUGCGCCUCGUGUAUAUUAUUACUUAGGAGAUAGGAGGAACCUUUCCUUCAGUGUUCGUUUUUGCCCCUUGUAUGUUACUAAGGACCUACCUUUCCUUGAGUUUCUUUUUUAUCCUCCUCUUACCCUGUACGUGCGUGUGCGUGUGCGUGUUCGUGUUUUACUUGUUUUAUUAUGAACUGAGUUGUUUUGGAAGUGGGUGCUUCUGAUCAGAUGCGUGCAGUAGCGAAAAGAAGGCUGGAAAUAGGUUGAGCUCCUGUUCGGUAAUUAUUUGCCAGGGGCUGACCAGGCGGACAACGGUAUGGCGCAGGUUGAAAUUUAAACUUUGUCCUGAGGAGAGGUUCCAAAAUUUUUAAAAUUAGUAUAGCACGAAUGUUAACAAUCGAAGGAUUACUUAUCAAUAUGUUUUACUCUGUAAUAUUUUUGUUAUUAAUUCAGCUUGUAUUAGAGGUUACGUAAUAAUCUAUGUUACUCUGUAUUUUUUUUAAUAUCAAGCUUAAUUUUAGGAAUUAUGUAAUAAUUUGAAUCAUCCUAUGUUUUUUUUUUGUUGCUUGGCGUGAUUGUGAUUAUGUAUCAACCAAUAUUUUUUUUAAUUUAGCUCUGUAAUAUAUAUUUUUUCAUAUCAGCUUGUAUUAUUAUUUUUUGGUUAGUAUGAACUAGACUGAUUUUAGAAAAUAUAUAAUAACUUCUAUUAUCUCAUGGUUUGUAUAAUUUUUUAGGUGCACCAAAUAUGAUGGAAUAGAAAUAUAAAGUUUUUUCUCUCAGCCCCUCUCUUUCUCUCUCUCUCUCUCUCCUCCCCCUCCCUCCCGCAAAUAAGGGCUCGUUUGGUUUGCGGUUUGCGGGAAGCAUUUUUUCUCAUACGAAUAUGAUUUCUGGAAAAUAAAUUCGUAGAGGAGAUUUGGAAAAGUACUUUUCGCAUGUUUGGUUAAUCAUGAUAAAUUUAUGAUAAAUUUUAAAGUGUUUAUGUAUAAUUUUAUUAUGUUCUUAAUAAAAUUAGAUUUUUAAUAUCUUUUAAUGUUUUUUAAUGUUUUAAAAUUUUUUGGAAAAAAAUAAAAUGAUUUUCGUUUUGGAAAAGUAAUUUUUUCAUAUUUCUUAUAAAAAAUAUUUUUCUAUAAAAUGUGGAAAUUAUAUUUUUAUUUUUUUAUUUAAAAAUUCCAACCAAGAGGCAUCUUGUUAUCUUUUUCGUUGACCACAUUUUUUUCUUCAAACGAGCCCUAAAUAGCAAGGACUAGUAUAUUUGUAUGUGGUAUAUGUAAAUAUAUUUGUAUACCAUACAUACUACAUAUAUUAGUCUGGGUUCAGCUCGACCAAGGAGGGUCCAUGGGCAGGCAAUGGUUUAACCAAUCAAAACGAACCCCACGUACGGUGGAUGGUAAAAUUUGAGCGGCCAAAACCUAACUAUGGAUCAGUAGGAGAGGCCUCAGGUAAGCUAACCAUGUUCAGUGCCGACUAAAAUCAUAUACGCUCUGCAGAAUAGAUUUAAUAUGACUCCACGCAAGCUGAUGGACUGUAAUUUUUUUCAUAAAAAAAAAUUGUAGCCUCUGAAAAUAUUGGAGGAAAGACGGAAUCGAUACGGAGUAAAAUUGUUUCUUAAAUAACUUACGGUUUCUCUAUACAUGUCGGGCCUGCAUCAGUUCGGCUGGUGGGGUCAAGCUCAGGCUUUGACUAGAACAGCUAAGCCAGGCUUGACUUGGGUCUGAAUUUUUUUGGCUUGAUAUCAAGCCGUGGCAUGGCAGGAACACACGGUAAUACCAACAGUGGUCGAUCAGUGGUUGUCAUGUGGUGUUAAAAAAUAAAAUUUAAAAAAUAAGAAUAUAUUGGAAAAUGAAAUAAAUGAAGUUGAACCAAACCGGAGCCUUGCGGAUGGCAGCAAGGUUUCGCAUGGUGCUUAUGUUUUAUGUGGGAUCUUUUUCGGGCUUAUUAGGUUCGCGGAAAGCAUUGUUCCUUCUAAGAAUAUUGUUGGGGAAAAACUCAAGUCGCACUGGUUCGGAGGCGCUCGCCUAAGGAGCGCCAACCAGAGAGCGCCGAUCAGAAGACGCCCGAUCCGGAAAGCGCCCGAUCAGGGGGCCCCAACCUCGCAACACGGGAAAACCCAAGUAGCGCCCGACCAGAGCGCUCGACCAGAAAGCGUCCGAUCAGGAGACGCCGACCAGAACGCGCCGACCUCACGACGCUCGAGUCAAAGACACCCCACUGACCAACUGGUGCCGAGCCCUAAAGAUGCCUUGUCUAAAUAUUCGACCCCAGCCUAAUUCCUUAUAGAGAAUCUGACAACUAGAUUUCCAACUCCACCGUACUGUGCUACCGUCGUCAAGCCAUUAAGGCACGUGACCUCCGCAGGCCUCCGGCACACUCGAUCAUUAAUGCGUGACUCCUGCGGGCCUUCAGUGCACUCAUCCAUUAAAUGAACACGGCCCAAGAUGAUCUCCGGAUCACUGGACUAUCAAAGCGUAUGGCUCUUCCUGAUCACCGGUUCACUCAGCAAUUAAUGCACUUGCUAUCUACGAACCCCAAGCCCACCACGGCCGGUGGUUGAACCACUUCAAUAGGUCCGAUCAACCAUGACAAUUCGCUGGAUCCGGUCUGAUCCGGUCUCGUUCUCCACAACAUCAUUAAUGAGCAUGAUCGUGCCCAAUUAUCACGAAGAAGACAAUUUUCCCUGUCACCUCCAGGUAACAUAAUAUCCUUCUAUAAAAGGAAACCGGGGAAAAAGGAGGGACAGAAGAACAAACAUUCUCCUCUUUUACCACACUCAUAUACUAGCCCUCUCUGACUUAAGCAUCGGAGGGCCGGCGCCGGAGAUUCCGGCCACCGGCUUUUUGCAGGACUCUCCAGGAGGACGCCACCAUCUGACGCGCCGCCGCCCACCGUUCCAGCAGCGGAGCUCCUCCCCUCUCAGCUCGCGGCCGCUCCUAGGUCCAAUUUCCAGCAACAAAUAUGAUUAUUGGGAAAUAAAUUCGUAAGAAGAGAAUGUUUACGAAAAUAUUUUUGGCAUGUUUGAUUGAUCAUUAGAAAGUAACAAAUUUUUAAAAUGUUUAUGUUUGGUUGGCUAUUCAUUUUUCUAAAAAAGUUAUGUAUAAUUUCCAUUAUGUUUUUAAUAAAAAUUAAGUUUUUAAUAUUUUUUAAUGCUUCGUUAAUGUUGAAGGUUUUUUUUAGAAAAAAUAAAAAUAGAGUGAUUUUCGUUUUAUGAAAAAGUAACUUUUUCAUAAAACGUGAAAAUCAUAUUUUCAUAAAAAUAUAAUUUUUUAUUUUUUUAAAAUUUCAAUCUAACAAGAGAUAUUUUAUUAUUUUUUUUUCUUUUUUCCGCGGACCAAAUGGGCUGGUGGUCAACCGCACGCACGUUGAAAUGGUGAAGUCAUGUUUUCAAGGAGAACAAGCGGACGGCAGGACGUCAGUGGACGUGAUAGGCCUAUUGGGGCCGACCAUCGAAAGUUUUCGGAUUGCUGUUUUUUUUUAUAUAUAUAUUUAUGACAAACGAGGUGGGCAAAGCAGCUGCCCAACUUUUAUUGAAGAGCAAAAUUAAUUAUAGUAAAAAAAAAGUUACAGUAGCAAGUAUAGAUUAGAUCAGCUGAGUAGACAACAUAAUAGAAACCGAGCAGUUAAGCAGCUGUAGAAAUAGAAAAGCAAAAAAAAAUUAAACAAAUGAAUGGUACAACUUUAGCUCAACAAAAUUAAGUUAUUUAUUUGCUCAAGUAUCAAUGUCGAACCCUAUUUAUCUGUUUGGUAGAGUAGGUAAUUUUUUUAUUUUAUGUUAGGUUUUUGUGUACUCAAGUACCGUUGUCGCGUUAUAUUUAUUUGUUUGGUAGGAUUGGUAAUUUUUUUAUUGUUUGGUAGGAUAGGUAAUUUUUUUAUUUUAUGUUAGGUUUUUGUGUACUCAAGUACCGAUGUCGCGUUCUAUUUAUCUGUUUAGUAGGAUAGGUAAUUUUUUAUUUUGCGUUAGGUAAGCGAUUUUACGUUAUAAAGGUUGGACUAUAAAUAAAAUAGUUGUAAAUAUUUUUUACCAUAAAUAAUUGUUUAUUUAUAAAAAUUUUGAUACAUAUUUUUUUGGCAUGAUCAUGAAAUGACACUAGUGAGCAUCAUGAUCAUUAGCCGAUGGUGCAGCUUUAGAAAAAUUUCUCUUUUUUUAAUCCAAGUAUAGUUUGCUAAAAGAUAAAAUCUUCUUCAGAUGACAGUAAAAAAUUUGCACUUCAAAAACAAAUGAUUUAUAGAUUGGACAAAGUGGCAACACGAUGCACAUCAUUUCAUAUUUUUUUCAAAACUUUUUUUAAUGCUAUCCUUAGUAUUGUACCAUUUUUUCCAACAAAAUUAUAGGGAGUAUUUUACUUUAAGUGUGGCACUGGAAGGUUCUAAAGUAAGAAGGCAGUUGUACUUUAUUCCUUUAGAAUUGAUGAGCUGAUAGUAGGAUGCGGAGGUGAACGUUAUUUUACUGCUUAGUUUUCAAAUAUUUUUAUCCUCAUCUCUAUUAAAUAUUAUCAAAAUAAGCAAAGAGAACAAUUGAUUUUGCUGUUAGAAGAUCUUUGCCAAUUGCUUGCUCGAUUGUUUAAGUUUUCACAAUAUAGUUUUGCAAUUUAAAAAAUUAGAUAUAGUGCCAUUUUUUUUUUGUUGCGAGCAUAAAGGGUAGGGAGGAUCAAUUUGAGUGGUGCAUUUCAAAGCUAGUUCUUUCCAAAAAGAAGUGUUUUGGUGGUUGGCGAUCUUGAAGUGAAUUCGAUUCCAGAAGGCCAGGAGAGAAUAACAUCUUUCCAAAUGUUAGAGCAUCUUUUUGGCAGUUUCCAACACAUUAAUAGUUUUACUUUCUUAUAAUAUGCAAAUUUAAUUUGCUUUCUCUAAAUACCUGGGUUUUUCACAAUUGACGUUCAACCCCAUUUUGCUAAAAAUGCAUUACUAAACUAUUGAAUGUCCUUGAUUUCUAGCACUCUUUCAUUUGCAAGCAAACAGUCUUUCAACCUUAUAAAAGAAACUGAGAGUGAUAAAUAUACUAGUCCAGGAUAAAGCUCACCUACAUUUGCCAAUUCUUUUGGUCACCCAAGCUGGAGACAUGAAGUAUAGAGGCAAGAAUUGAAUUGAUCAAGGUAGUCCUACCUCUAAAAGGCAUAUACUCGCUUUUUCAUAAAGCCAAUCUAUUCUCACUGCCAAUCCAACUUAAGAAGAUUUUGCACCAUUGAGUGGCAAACCCAAGUACUUGAGAGGGGUUGAAAUCUCAAGAUAAUUAGCCACCUACCACACUGUAGCUCUUCUUCAUGUCUAUGGCCGAUGUAAGAGAUUGAGCUUUUUUGAAAAUUAAUGGAUAACCUUCAUAUUAGCUCAAAACAAGAGUGGAUGGUUUUCAAUACCGUAUAAUAAUCUUUUUUGUGUUAAGGAAGACCAAUGUAUCGUCCGCAUAUUGCAAUAGUUUAGUGUCUCCACAAAUCCAUGGGUUCCCCAAUUCCUUAUAAUUUUUUUCUUGAAGCCACAACGUUAAGCAUUCUACAAAGUGGAUCCACUGCAAGUAUGAACAAGAAAGAAAAGAGUGGGUCACCUUCAUGAGCCCCCGCUUGCAGAAAAUCCAGUCACUAAGCUCUUUGUUCCCGUUGACCACAAUUAUGGAUGAAAGUAGUAGAUUGGAGAUCCAAUUAAUCCAUCUUAUGGGAAAACUUCUCUUAACAAGAUGUCUAAUAAGAUAAGAGGGGCUAACUCUAUAAAAAGCCCUUAUGAAGUGAAGUGUGCAAAUCGCCUCCUCAAUGCUCGAUCUUCUUGAGUGGUGCAGAAUUUCAUUGGCAUAUAGAAAAUUGUCCUUCAUGUACUUUUCUUUAAUGUUGGCUGUGUGAGCGAGAUCAAUGAGAUCAUUAAAAAAAGGCUAGAGACAGUUGGACAUACCCUUCCAUAUGAUUUCGAUGCAGCUAUACGCAAGACUGAUGCGCCGGAAAUCGGAAGGGUCUUUUGUUGCUUCUUUCUUUGGAAUGAGGGCGAGUAAGGCAUAAUGGAAUCCUGCAAGGUCCAGAUUUCUACUGUAGAGUUGCCGAAAGAGAGAAAAGAUAUUAAUUUUUAUCAAGUUCCAGAAUCUUUGGAAGAAGUAGAGAGAGAAGCUGUUAGGCCUUGGACUUUUAUCUCCUUUGAAGCUAAACACAGUAUCCUUCACUUUUUUGAAGGAGAAAGCAGCCUCCAAAACAUCCAACACUAGUGAAGAAAUGGAAUAAAGUCGAUCCCAAUCAAGAUUAAACUCUAUCAUAGCAAAAAAAUAUUAAAUGGAUCAGACCUACUGUGGAUCCAAGAUAAAAUCAUCCAAACGUGUGUUGCUAUCGCACAUUAAAAGAAGAAGCAUGGGGAUAGAGGGGACGGGACAGAUUGAUUUCAUCCUAAAUUUAAUAAUUUCUUGGUCACGAUAGCUCUAUGAAAGAUACAUGACUCUUUACCGGUCCAUUGCUUGCUAGCUUGCGGGCCACCCGAUGAUUUGAGUUCGGAGGGGUGAUACCAUCAUCGCCGCGGUCGGUUUAUUUCCAUUUCCGUCAUUGUUGAUUAGAAAUGAUAAGCUUUCCACCUUAAGCAGGGCGUCCAAGUCCCCCAUCGAACUAAUCUCCAUCUCUCUCUUGGGUACCCCCACCCUCUGGUUAUUUUAAGAUGAAUUUUGAUGGUGGUAUGGCUAUGAAUAGAGCUUCUGGAGGAGUGGGCUUUGUUAUUAGGGACCAGCAUGGUAGAUUGAUUGCAGCUGGAGGUUAGAGCACACCAGGAUUGACGGUUGUUGGGCAGAGCUACAAGUUGCCUGGGAGGGCAUCCGAUAUGCGAGAUGUGUGUUGGGGGUCGACAGAUUAUGCAUUGAGGGAGACUCUGCCACGGUGAUUGACUGGAUACGGGGAGUCAAUAGAUAUGGUGACGACCACCCUUUGAUUUGGGAUACUCGCAGACUAGUUCAGGAGAUGUUAGCUGUCCAGAUUGGUCAUGUGUAUCGUGAGGUGAACAGAGCUGCAGACUGGGUCGCCUCAUAUGUGGCUCGUCAUUCUAGGGACGUCAUCUGGACUAGUCUAGCAAGCGUUCUCCAUUUGUUGCAUUGCUUACUUUCUCUUGACUUGGCAGGAUGUACUCAAUUUUGACUUACUGGAAAUGAAAUGCCUUUUUGGACAAAAAAAAAACACUAAUCUCUAUCGAACAGCCUUAACACCAGUUAGGGAAGAUAACUUAAAUUGGAAUAAAGAAAUGAAGGAACCACCAAUUAGAGAAGAUACAAGGCAUGGCUCAUAAAAAAUCCAACUAGAUGAAUCAGACUUCUUCUAUCAAUGCUAUCGCCUACAUUAGCUGACCUGUAACCCAUUACUUGCUAGGACCUGUAGCUCAUCUUGGAUGUUUGCGAGGUCAAAUAUGUAGACGAAGUUUCCAUAGCACAUAGAAAUAUUUAUGGACAAUGUCUUCUUCUGGACUAAGGAAGGCAAAUAAUUUUUGUCAGGAGAUAAGGCCCAAAAUUUGUACCCAACAAAAGGUCCGUAUCAUCGGCAUGACGAUAUUUGUCGGCUUAGGAGAGACUUUAUCUCUUUAGGGUUCUGAAUUUUGAUUCUAAAAUAAUUCUUUCUAGAUAUCGAAAAUUGAGAUUAAAUUUACUGUAGAAGGUAGGCAUAGCUAUAUUUUCAGAAAAUGAGAAGGGGAUAAGAAGCAAUGUUAAAAAAAUAUUUUAGGGAGGCGGACAAGUGGUAGAUUGGAUCACCUUUUUUUUUUUGCUGAGGCCGGUGGACAUAGUCUGAUACCGCCUCUUAUGUUUGUACUACUUUUUUUACUCUUCUGGUUCUGGUUGUGCUUAUAUUAGAUUAAUAUGAGCAACUAUUGUACUGGAUUCAGCUCCACCAGAAUUUUAAAAUAUAUAUAUAUAUAUAAGAAGUAGAAAAUUCCGAAUGGAGUUGCAAGUUGGAGCCUCGCCACGUCCGNNNNNNNNNNNNNNNNNNNNNNNNNNNNNNNNNNNNNNNNNNNNNNNNNNNNNNNNNNNNNNNNNNNNNNNNNNNNNNNNNNNNNNNNNNNNNNNNNNNNNNNNNNNNNNNNNNNNNNNNNNNNNNNNNNNNNNNNNNNNNNNNNNNNNNNNNNNNNNNNNNNNNNNNNNNNNNNGUUCCCAGAAAUAGGAGAAAUUAUUACAUCCAAUCCAGAUUGGUUAAACGAUUAGGCUGUUUCACCGGACCUGGUCCAUCUAACAACGAGGACAGAAACAGAUCUUUACUAAAUAUUGAGGACAGAAACAUAGCCUUCAGCGUGACCUCAGAAACAGACUUGAAGCCUGCGCAACUGCGGGCUCCAAUAUGUCGGCUAUGUACGUGAUGGUGUAAGUAGAGAGCCAUCACAAGAACCACAUCCAUCCAUACGGUGGGCUUCUUUAUUACUGUGUGCAGUGAUGUAAAUAAACAAAUCCAAUAAUACUAGAUUGCUGUGAUAUAAAUAAUCGAAUCAAAUAAUUCUGGAUCUAAUAAUUUUAUUCUUUUAUAUCCUCCUGUUGUUUCUCCAUAUCAAUGAUUGCUGGUUUUUUAUUUCACCGACUCCUCCCAAAUUUGCAAAACGAAUGGGAAAAUUCGACAUUCUCUCUGUACUCUUCUUUACAGCUAUUUAAUUGCCGCUUUUAUUAAAAAAAAAAUUCGGCAUAAAAAAAUUGCCGAAAGCUAACAGCGUUCCCAAAGAUAUUUUUUUUCCCCUUCUUCCUCCCACGCUCUCUCUCCAACUAAUGAUCGCAAACCUUUUCCUUUUCUUGAUAACCAUAGUAAAAAAAGUUCUCCACCCUUCCACCGCUUUCUUCCCGUUCCUUGACAUGCGGUAGAACGGCGGCGCACAUGGUGGCGGUGAGGCUCCGUCCGAUCGGCACCGUCGACGACCGCAUACGAAGGCGGACCAAGAUAGCACCACCACGACCACCGGCGGCGACGGUGGAAGAAGGCAUGGGGAGCUUCCACGAGCGGAUGAUCGACGAGUCCCUCACGUCCCGCUACUCGGAUUGGAUCGUGGAGGCGUUGGACGAGCUCCCGGACAACUUCUUGAUCACAGAUCCGGGAAUCUCCGGCCAUCCGAUCGUCUUCGCCAGCCGCGGGUUCCUCGCCAUGUCGGGAUACGCCCGGGAGGAGGUGGUGGGCCGGAACGGGAGGAUCUUCCAGGGGCCCGCCACCGAGCGGCGGUCGGUGAUGGAGAUCCGGGAGGCGAUCCGGGAGGAGCGGACGCUCCAGAUUAGCUUGCUCAACUACCGGAAGGAUGGGACGCCGCAUUGGAUCUUGUUCCACCUGUGCCCUGUCUUCGGGAUGGAGGAUGGGCGGGUGAUCCACUUCGUCGCCGUUCAGGUGCCGAUCCCGAGGCGGUCGAGAUGCGCGAGGUCGGGGGCGAAUGGAAUGGUGUAUGGGGCGUGCCGGAAUGAGGUGCGUUUGGAUGACGAUUACGCGUGUAAUCUUGCAGUGGAUUCGGUUAUUGAUAUGGAUAACAAAGGUAGUUCAGUUUCUUGGCCUGAAUGGAUCGUCUUUGGUUUCGUUUUGGUUCUUAUUGAAACAUAUUGAUGCUGAUUAGAUCUUUAGUUAUUGAGUAGUAAUUAUUACAAGACCUCUAUUUAGAUUUGAAUGCAAAAAGAUUCUUUUUUGAGAAGCAAAAAGAUUAAAUCAUCUUGCCCCAAAUAUUUUUACUUGUUGAUUCUAUUGGAUUGGAUGCUAGUUCUUAUUCUUGGUUAAACUGGAUUUUUUUUUUUUUAGUAUCCUCACUACUUGGUUGAUUAUUACAGCUUUGGAGGCUGAAGAGUCUCGUAAAGCGAGUGUUUGGGAGAAGGAGAAAGCAUCGAAUGCUGCUAACAGCAUCUUAUCAACACUGACUCACUAUAGCAAGCUUACGGGGAGAGUGGUCUGCACGAAGAGAUGCAGUUCAGCUGGCAUUGCGCCUCUCAGUUCAUCCCUGAAUAUAUCUCUCGGUAGAAUCAAACAGAGCUUUGUAUUGUGAGUUGUUACAAAUUCCUGUUUCUGUUCGUUUAAAUAUUCUUGAGAUGUAUUGCUUGCUGCAUUGAUACAGAUUGUUUUGAUUCUUGCAGGACUGAUCCACAUUUACCUGAUAUGCCCAUUGUCUAUGCCAAUGAUGAAUUCCUAAGUUUAACAGGUUUUUUUUAUUGCUAUGCCAUCUUAUUUACAUUAAUUUGACCACUUUUAAAAAA